Long non-coding RNA from Dicentrarchus labrax (European seabass), 629 nucleotides. RefSeq lists it as uncharacterized. The record is from RefSeq and is a predicted model, not a curated record. The transcript has 2 exons. NCBI's taxonomy places the organism in Eukaryota, Metazoa, Chordata, Actinopteri, Moronidae.
UGGAGCAACUUAUUCUCACUGCCACACGGCUCCAAAUGGAAAUACUGGUUAUUCUUUUGUCAGACAAAGCUCAAACGUGUCUGCUCUCUAUGAGGCUCUCUGUGAGGCUGUUAUGGGACUUUUGGCGCUGUCACAGGUGUCGAACACGAAAGGACAAUUAAAACUAACCGCCAUCACAGAGCAACAGAUGGAGGUGCACAACAGGAUAUUACCACUAAGAGGAUUCCUCUUUCUUUGCCUGUCACUCUGGACUUUUUUUGUGGGGACAGACUCUUUCAUCGUGACCCAGCUCGACUGGCUUACUGGAACUGGUGUAGAGUUAUUGGUUAAGCCCUCUGAAACCCGCCACUACUCAUGUUGACCUGCUUGGCAAACAGAGAUCCCUGAUCGAGUCCGCUGUGAAUGACGUAAAAAUAAGUAACCAGGUGGGAUUAGAAAGUCCUCGUAUUGUCUUGAGUCUCUGAACUCUGAUCUUCCACUCAGAACUCUGAGGUACGUGCCAGCUCUCUGUGUGUGAAUGGCCCGGUGUCAAGUUUACUGACCCGUCUAGUACUACAUUAAUACCCUUACAAGAGGCAGUGUGUGCUUCCCAUUGGCAGGUAAGUGUUAGGACUUUUGCAAGGACUAAA